UACAGAGGUCCCAAGCGUUGUUCGGAUUCACUGGGCGUAAAGGGUGCGUAGGCGGCCGGGUAAGUCUGAUGUGAAAUCUCACAGCUUAACUGUGAAACUGCAUUGGAUACUAUCCGGCUCGAGGAAUGGAGGGGAGACUGGAAUACUUGGUGUAGCAGUGAAAUGCGUAGAUAUCAAGUGGAACACCAGUGGCGAAGGCGACUUACUGGACACAUAUUGACGCUGAGGUGCGAAAGCGUGGGGAGCAAACAGG
This 253-nucleotide ribosomal RNA is filed under the name uncultured bacterium. Its description in RNAcentral is "partial 16S ribosomal RNA". It matches the Rfam family "Bacterial small subunit ribosomal RNA", at positions 524 to 776 of the family's 1533-position model. The record is from RNAcentral.